This 121-nucleotide transfer RNA is filed under the name Microcaldota archaeon. RNAcentral describes it as "tRNA-Arg". It matches the Rfam family "tRNA". Rfam says of the family: Transfer RNA (tRNA) molecules are approximately 80 nucleotides in length. Their secondary structure includes four short double-helical elements and three loops (D, anti-codon, and T loops). Further hydrogen bonds mediate the characteristic L-shaped molecular structure. tRNAs have two regions of fundamental functional importance: the anti-codon, which is responsible for specific mRNA codon recognition, and the 3' end, to which the tRNAs corresponding amino acid is attached (by aminoacyl-tRNA synthetases). tRNAs cope with the degeneracy of the genetic code in two manners: having more than one tRNA (with a specific anti-codon) for a particular amino acid; and 'wobble' base-pairing, i.e. permitting non-standard base-pairing at the 3rd anti-codon position. The record is from RNAcentral. Lineage: Archaea; Nanobdellati; Microcaldota.
GGGCCUGUGGCGCAGCCUGGAUAGCGCAAGUGCCUUCUAAGCACGAGGUCGAGGGUUCAAAUGCAAGCAAAACGUUGCGUUUUGCAGUUUUUUCGCUUGUGCGAAAAUCCCUCCAGGCCCG